CUUGGUUUCUAUUGGUCUUAGGUAGAUGACAAUACUAGAAAGGAGUGAUGAAUGUGAGGUCCAGUGACUGGAAACAUUGAAAACCUCAAACAUAUUGUAUGAAUAUUAUCUAACUCCUUUAUCAAUGGCCCAUUGGCACAGGAAAUAACCUAGUGGGUUAAUCCAUGUUUUUCUUCAAAGAAAUAGAAUGUACCAAGUGAGACUGAGAAGUUACUGGGCGCAUUUUGCCAUAUGGCUUAGGAAAUAGGAAGUUCAUUUAUGAUGAUAGAGAAAAAAGAAUUAAUGCUUACACAGGAUGGAAGACAUGAGAUUCUGUGGGUUCCUCAAUAGUGCCAACUGACAAAACAAACAACCUUUAACAUUUUGACAAAGAGCAAAUGUACUGAUUAUUUUUCUUGUUGCUAUGAAAAGAAUCACUGAAGAAAAGCUGCUUACAGGAAGGAGGAUUUACUCUAGCUCACAGUUUAGGGCACAGUCAAUCAUCUAAAGUCACCAGCAGGGCAAGCGGAAUGUUCGGACUCAGUUAGCUUUCUCCUUUUUAUUCAGUACAGGAUUCCAGCCACAGUUCUGCCCACAGUCAAGAAGGAGAUGGAUGGCCAUGAGCUCAUGGAAGAGAAAGAAGUGGCUGAAAAGACCAAAGCAAUAUUUGAGCAGACCAAUUUGUUUUUUGAAGAGUGAAUAAGAAAUUUGAGAAUCUAGAAAAUAAUUCCUUCAAACUGUUCGUAUCUGUGCGGCUUGUGGAGGGUUGUUCUGUCUCCUCAGGUUCCUCGGGAGAAGCAGCGACUUUAGUGCAGAAUCUGAAGCUCUGUGGAAGCUGUAUUCUGUGGCCACCAGGGCCAGAAGCCAGCUCUUGGGCAUUGCCAUAGGACCAGCAGGUCGGGUCCCUCAAUCUGUGCCCAGUGACUACACUGCCCAGGUGUGUGCAUCAGAAGCUCGGGAAUGAGUGGCUGGAACUGGACAUGCGCAGAUUGCUCUUCCUUCCACCCCCUUCUCCCAGGGCAUUAAGGCUGGAAAGAGCCUGUCCACACCUGACACUUCUCUUUCCAGGCUUGCCCCCUGACUCUGCCUACACUAUCACACAAGGAUGGUACUUGGCCCUAGAUCCUGGGCUCAGAGUUUCCCUGGCAAGCACUGUGGUGUGGAGGCUUAUCGAGUGGGAGAAUACCUGCAAAAUAAUCUGAGAGACACCGAGCCCCUCUUCGCAGUAUGUCACAUUGAGUCUUUUAGCACAACGAUGAGUGGGAAUUAGAAGCUGUGGCAGAGUGACGAGAAACUGCUUCCCAACCUGUAUCUGGGCCCCAUUUGUCAAUUGUAGCAAGGGCUCAUUUAGCCCAGGCUGGCUUUGAGUACCAAUCUUCCUGCCUCCCUCUACCUUCCAAGUGCCGUUACGUGCCAUUAUCUUCAUUUUCACCACUUGUAACCUCCCCAUUAUUAUUUUUUUUUAAGUGAAGAAAAGUUAUUCAUUUUGCUCAUUGAAAGCCCCUAGGUUCGGGCUUUUGGCAUAACUAGGAUUCAGACCAGACCACAGGAAACUGCUUUUCGGUGGUCAGCUGACACUGGGGCUCCGUGAGAACUAAGACACUGCUUCCAGGGAGCCAAUAUCAGCAAGAAAAGAGCUGUCUCCAAGGAAAAAAGGCAGACAGGACUUUUAGAAACGUUUCCUCAUCUUCAUAAUUUUGUCAACCCAUGUCACAAAUGCAUCACGAGGUCUAACUGGCUUAUUUUUUGUGGGUUGUCCCAUUGGUUGAAUGAAGGACAAACAAAUGGAUGGAUGAAUAUUUAGUAGCUCUUCUAUGUGGUUUGAUAUGUGGCCGUUUUCCUGCAGUUUCCAGUUUUAAUGAUGCAUGCAUAAAAGGAUCAAGGAAAAGGCAUGCACAGACCUUCAUCUGCAAUUUGGAAGCCAGAGGUUUGGAUGCUCAGGUGCUGAUGAAUAUGUGGCAAACUCGUUUAGCAGCCAAACAACACCUGAAAAAACAAAAAACAAAAAACAAAAAACAACCCUUUACUUGGAAUUUAGUUAUCCCAUUUAGUGUGACUAUUCUCCUGUUUCCAUGAAUGGAAUAUUAAUGUUAAAUAGGAGUGUUGUUCCAUAUGCUACAUAUAGCAUGCAUUAGCAAUGUCUUUUAUCUCUGAAUUUAAAGCAUAUGUAGUCCAUAAUGUUUAGAUACGGAAUCGCUGACCUACAUUAGUUAUUUGUCGAUGUGGAGGGAUGUCAUGUCAUUUGUAAGACAAAUUACAUUUGUGUAUAUGCCCAUUUACAAAUUAAUGUAAAUGUUUCCCCUAUCAUUUUGCAAAAACAUUAGGGACAAUGUCUUUUGCACAUUCUCUUGUGUGAAACACAGAUUCUCCAGCCAAUAUUUCGAGCUCAUUAUUCCUACUCCAUAAUUGCUGCAUUCACGUAUUACAGAAAGAACAAGAAAGACAGAACAAAUAUGCACUGCACAUCACAGGGCAUUUUGAUGUUUCUUCACUUCUUUUUCAAUAAACUAUUUGGACAACACUUUACAUGAAAAUUUUGCUUUUAUUAUUAAAUUCAAUUUUAAUUUCAUUUAAAGUGGCUAAAAUGCAGUUUGAAUAGAAAUCCAUUUAAUUAACAUUUCAAAGUAUAUGGAGAUGAAUAUAAAAUUUACUUCUAUGCUGACUGUAAAACCAAUGCUAAGGAAGAUCUGCUUGAGCAAAGUAGAGAACAACUUCCUCGCUGUACGACCAGAUAUUUAACCUCUGGCUUUGCUAUUAUCAUUGCUUUAAUAACAAAGAUAAGCUAGGUAUCAAUAAAUCCACAUAACCAUCAAUUUAUCCAUCCAUCUACCAUCAUUAUAUACAUUCUACCAGCUACUAAUUUGCAUUUUCAUCACUAUUAUAGUCAACUUUACAUGACUGUGACCAAAAACUGAGAUAACAAACUUAACUGGAGAACACGUUUAUUUGGGCUCACGAUUCCAGAGGUAUCAUGUUACACAUUCAGCUCUCUCUGUGGCUUUUGGGCCUAUGGGGAUAUGUGACAUCAUAGUAGGACCAUGUGACAGUUAACUGCUUAGCUCCUGGGAACUGGAAUGAGAGAAGGAAAGAGAGGAAGGGACUGCAGUUUCCAUAACCCCUCCUCACAUACCCCCCUCCGGCAAGAGAACACUUGCUGUGACCAGACUUUCUCUCACAGGGCUCUACCUCUUUAGAGUUUCACUGUCUCCUAGUAAUGCCACAGGUUGGCAGUGAAGCCUUUGAGGGACACUCUAGAAGCAAGCCACAGCAACCACUUACUCCUGAGGCUUUGCUAGAUUCUAAUAGCAUUAGCAUUUUGAGUUUGUCCUUGUAGAACUUGAGAGAGAGGACAUGCUACAAUUCAGGAGGAGAUUUCUAUGAACUUAGAAGAAACAUUUAACAAGACUGAUGAUCUUUAAAGGAGUCUGAAGGACAGAUAAUAAAAUAACCGGGGCUUGGAAGUCAGAACACACAGCUUCUGAUUCCAUGCUAUUCUUUAAUCUCUGUGUGAUGCAAGGCAAUAUGCUUAAACCAUCCCACCUUGAUUCCCUUGUUGAUAAAUGAGAGGAAAAUGUUACAUUAUUACUUUACAAGUUUGCUUUAAGGGUAAGUAUGUCAUUUUAAAU
This 3605-nucleotide long non-coding RNA is filed under the name Cricetulus griseus (Chinese hamster). Its description in RNAcentral is "lncRNA (ENSCGRG00015036023.1)". Lineage: Eukaryota; Metazoa; Chordata; Mammalia; Rodentia; Cricetidae. The record is from RNAcentral.